RNAcentral lists this ribosomal RNA (960 nucleotides) under uncultured bacterium. RNAcentral describes it as "bacterial SSU rRNA". It matches the Rfam family "Bacterial small subunit ribosomal RNA", at positions 388 to 1367 of the family's 1533-position model. The record is from RNAcentral.
GCAGCCACGCCGCGUGAGGGAAGACGGUUUUCGGAUUGUAAACCUCUGUUCUAAGUGACGAACAAAUGACGGUAGCUUAGGAGAAAGCCCCGGCUAACUACGUGCCAGCAGCCGCGGUAAUACGUAGGGGGCAAGCGUUGUCCGGAAUUACUGGGUGUAAAGGGAGCGCAGGCGGAGAAGCAAGUCAGUGGUGAAAACGAUGGGCUUAACUCAUCGACUGCCAUUGAAACUGUUUCCCUUGAGUGAAGUAGAGGCAGGCGGAAUUCCGAGUGUAGCGGUGAAAUGCGUAGAUAUUCGGAGGAACACCAGUGGCGAAGGCGGCCUGCUGGGCUUUAACUGACGCUGAGGCUCGAAAGUGUGGGGAGCAAACAAAAGUAGAUAACCUGGUAGUCCACACUGUAAACGAUCUUCUAAAGGUGUGGGGGGUCUGACCCCUUCCGUGCCGGAGUUAACGCAAUAAGCAAUCCACCUGGGGAGUACGGCCGCAAGGUUGAAACUCAAAGGAAAUUGACGGGGGCCCGCACAAGCAGUGGAUUAUGUGGUUUAAUUCGACGCAACGCGAAGAACCUUACCAGGUCUUGACAUCCAACGAAUCCUUAAGAGAUUAGGGAGUGCCUUUCGGGGAACGUUGAGACAGGUGGUGCAUGGUUGUCGUCAGCUCGUGUCGUGAGAUGUUGGGUUAAGUCCCGCAACGAGCGCAACCCCUGCCAUUAGUUGCUACGCAAGAGCACUCUAAUGGGACCGCUACCGACAAGGUGGAGGAAGGUGGGGACGACGUCAAAUCAUCAUGCCCCUUAUGACCUGGGCUACACACGUAAUACAAUGGCCGUUAACAACGGGAGGCAAAACCGCGAGGUGGAGCAAAACCCUAAAAACGGUCCCAGUUCGGAAAACAGGCUGCAGCCCGCCUGCGUGAAGUUGGAAUUGCUAGUAAUCGCGGAUCAGCAUGCCGCGGUGAAU